UACGUAGGGGGCAAGCGUUGUCCGGAUUUAUUGGGCGUAAAGAGCGUGUAGGCGGUCAGGUAGGUCAGCUGUGAAAACUCGAGGCUCAACCUCGAGACGCCGGUUGAAACCAUCUGACUAGAGUCCGGAAGAGGAGAGUGGAAUUCCUGGUGUAGCGGUGAAAUGCGCAGAUAUAAGGAAGAACACCCGUGGCUAAGGCGGCUCUCUAGUACGGUACUGACGCUGAGACGCGAAAGCGUGGGGAGCGAACAGG
This 253-nucleotide ribosomal RNA is filed under the name uncultured bacterium. RNAcentral describes it as "partial 16S ribosomal RNA". It matches the Rfam family "Bacterial small subunit ribosomal RNA", at positions 524 to 776 of the family's 1533-position model. The record is from RNAcentral.